Molecule: transfer RNA, 60 nt
Filed under: bovine gut metagenome
Rfam family: tRNA
About the family: Transfer RNA (tRNA) molecules are approximately 80 nucleotides in length. Their secondary structure includes four short double-helical elements and three loops (D, anti-codon, and T loops).
Source: RNAcentral
CGCAAUAGCUCAGUCGGUAGAGCAUUUCAUUCGUAACGAAAAGGUCGCGGGUUCGAGUCC